UUUAAAUUUAUUUUCACUCUUAGAUUUUGCAUCUAGUAUCAGACUCAUUUUUUGCCUUACGAUCAAAGGUUGAACCACAAAAUGGCAGAAACUAGACUCCCACCAGGUUGCAAAAGGCAAAAACUCUGGUAGAAUAACUUUGAAGAUGUUGAACCGACUUCAAAAUAUGCUCUACAAAUCAAAUGCAAGUUAUGUCCAGAUGUCGUCUCUAACAGAAUUGCUAGACCAAAUGCUUCUGCAACUGGCAUAAAGUCACACCUCAAGCGCAAACAUAAAACUGUGUAUUAUGAAGUUUUGCGGCAGGAAGAAGAAAUGAAGUCUCAACAAGCCAUUUCUGGGGAAAAACUUGAGUUUUUGACAUCAAUAGGAGGGACUGGAGCUGGUAGUUACUUUCAACUGCGCAGGAAAUUCAAAAAGCCAACACAUUUUCUAAAGCUGAAGUCACAAGAUCCUAUGCAAUUAAGAUUUGACUAUGAAGUGUGUCUAGGCCUUGCAAACUCAAAUGUUUCAUUUCACUUUAUGGAACUCCCAUCGAUUCAACAAAUGUUUCAAGCAAUUUGUCCACAGGUAUAUUAGAGUUCUAUUCCAAUAUUUAUGCUAACAACUACCCGAGUAAAGUAAGCUUCAAAUA
Molecule: non-coding RNA, 631 nt
Organism: Hydra vulgaris (swiftwater hydra)
Lineage: Eukaryota; Metazoa; Cnidaria; Hydrozoa; Anthoathecata; Hydridae
Source: RefSeq, a predicted model, not a curated record